AUUGAACGCUAGCGGGAUGCCUUACACAUGCAAGUCGAACGGCAGCACGGACUUCGGUCUGGUGGCGAGUGGCGAACGGGUGAGUAAUGUAUCGGAACGUGCCUAGUAGCGGGGGAUAACUACGCGAAAGCGUAGCUAAUACCGCAUACGCCCUACGGGGGAAAGCAGGGGAUCGCAAGACCUUGCACUAUUAGAGCGGCCGAUAUCGGAUUAGCUAGUUGGUGGGGUAACGGCUCACCAAGGCGACGAUCCGUAGCUGGUUUGAGAGGACGACCAGCCACACUGGGACUGAGACACGGCCCAGACUCCUACGGGAGGCAGCAGUGGGGAAUUUUGGACAAUGGGGGAAACCCUGAUCCAGCCAUCCCGCGUGUGCGAUGAAGGCCUUCGGGUUGUAAAGCACUUUUGGCAGGAAAGAAACGUCAUGGGCUAAUACCCCGUGAAACUGACGGUACCUGCAG
This 461-nucleotide ribosomal RNA is filed under the name Achromobacter sp. MMA-BII-2. RNAcentral's name for it is "bacterial SSU rRNA". It matches the Rfam family "Bacterial small subunit ribosomal RNA", at positions 30 to 484 of the family's 1533-position model. The record is from RNAcentral. Lineage: Bacteria; Pseudomonadati; Pseudomonadota; Betaproteobacteria; Burkholderiales; Alcaligenaceae. RNAcentral also lists the same sequence under 2 other names.